AUUGAACGCUGGCGGCAGGCCUAACACAUGCAAGUCGAGCGGAUGAAGGGAGCUUGCUCCUGGAUUCAGCGGCGGACGGGUGAGUAAUGCCUAGGAAUCUGCCUGGUAGUGGGGGCUAACGUCCGGAAACGGGCGCUAAUACCGCAUACGUCCUGAGGUAGAAAGUGGGGGAUCUUCGGACCUCACGCUAUCAGAUGAGCCUAGGUCGGAUUAGCUAGUUGGUGGGGUAAAGGCCUACCAAGGCGACGAUCCGUAACUGGUCUGAGAGGAUGAUCAGUCACACUGGAACUGAGACACGGUCCAGACUCCUACGGGAGGCAGCAGUGGGGAAUAUUGGACAAUGGGCGAAAGCCUGAUCCAGCCAUGCCGCGUGUGUGAAGAAGGUCUUCGGAUUGUAAAGCACUUUAAGUUGGGAGGAAGGGCAGUAAGUUAAUACCUUGCUGUUUCGACGUUACCAACAGAAUAAGCACCGGCUAACUUCGUG
Molecule: ribosomal RNA, 484 nt
Filed under: uncultured bacterium
Lineage: Bacteria
Description: partial 16S ribosomal RNA
Rfam family: Bacterial small subunit ribosomal RNA
Source: RNAcentral